UCUCUUGGAGAGUUUGAUCCUGGCUCAGGACGAACGCUGGCGGCGUGCUUAACACAUGCAAGUCAAGGGGGGCCCGCAAGGGUCAACCGGC
RNAcentral lists this ribosomal RNA (91 nucleotides) under Gemmatimonadetes bacterium SCN 70-22. RNAcentral's name for it is "partial 16S ribosomal RNA". It matches the Rfam family "Bacterial small subunit ribosomal RNA", at positions 1 to 99 of the family's 1533-position model. The record is from RNAcentral. Lineage: Bacteria; Pseudomonadati; Gemmatimonadota.